Molecule: long non-coding RNA, 2557 nt
Organism: Thalassophryne amazonica
Lineage: Eukaryota; Metazoa; Chordata; Actinopteri; Batrachoidiformes; Batrachoididae
Exons: 4
Source: RefSeq, a predicted model, not a curated record
CGCCGAUGCCGCGGAAUGGCCUGAGCCUGAGCCCGAGCCCGAGCCUGAGCCAGCGGUGCUGAUCCCGGUGCUGGCACCAGGCUUCCAGCUCUGGAUGGAGAUCUUGGUGUAGUCGACCUUCCGGAUCUCCGUCUUCCACCGGUGCCGUGUUCGAGUCCGUGGCUUCGGCCGGGCUGAACCGUAACGACCGAGCGGAUCCGGUCAAAGGAAACGGAAUUCAGGGAUGGAGCGGCGGCGGCGGCGAGAGACACCGGUAGGAUGUACCGAGAGAAGAGAUCAGCAUGGCCGCUGCUGCAGAGAGAGAGAGAGAGAGAGACAGAGACAGACAGACAGAGAGAGAGAGAGAGAGUCUUUGUCUCCCUCUCUCUACCACUUGUUUCAUUUUUUUUAACUGUCAGAACAAUUAUUCCAAAUAAUAAUUUCACUCAUUCUGAAAACUGACCAUAUACUUAAAGCAUUACUUAAAGUGUAAUAUAAUAUAUAAAUACAAUAUUUAAAAAAAUAUUUAAAUGUAGUAAAUAAAAACUAUUUUAAUACAAAUAAAAAACAACAACUUCUACUUUUACAUUAAAAAAUAAUAUUUUAACAGAUCAUUGCAUAUCUGCUCAGUCAUUUGCUCUGUCAGGCAUCAAGCCCCGCCCAACGUCUUUAUCUGGGUGUGCACCCUCAAGCUCAUUUGCAUAAUGGGCUGGGAUUGCCCUCUUGGAAUUUGUGACGCAGCAAAUCCCGUUUUUCCAUGUAUAUAGUGCAUUUCCAUCUGCAUCAGAAGCUCAAAGCGCUUUACAAUUAUGCCUCACAUUCACACAGACACACUCACACACCAAUGCUACUACACACCGGGAGUAACUUGGGGAUUAAGGCCCUUGCCCAAGGGUCCAUAGUGAUUUUCCAGUCAGGCUGGGGUUUAAACUGAGGAUCCUCUGGUCUCAAGCCCAACGCUUAACCACUAGACCAUUACUUCCCCUACUCAGGAUAAAGUUCAGGAGAGGACUGACAAAAGCACAACACUGAGUACUAUUCAUGAAAAAUCAGGGUGUGCACUUCCAUCUUGCUACCUAGAGGGCGCUGUGUAAUGGUGACAGUUGUGGCAAUGUUACUAGCUUAAUUCAUAUCAAAAAUGCUGAUGCAUUUGGUUUCGAGAAUGUUGUCAGAUGUGGCCGUUCAUUCUAAUCGCUCGUUAAAACUAAUUAUAAUUGAUUGGUUUACGAUGCAGCAGUGUAGCAGCUAGCUAGCACUGAGCCAAAGCUAAUUCAUAUAUUUUCGCAACUGGUCAAAGUUGUACGCGGUUCAUGUUUGAGUAUAACGACAGCACAAAUAAAUUAAUGUUAGUUGCUUGUGUUGAGUGUUAGUCAAAGCUAACUGGUGUCGCGAUAAAGUCAAAGCUAACAGUCUUAUUGAUAACUGAAUUCAAAGAUGAAUACCUGGGUAGUCUUUUCUAAAAGAUCAAAUUAUUAAUUAAGCUCACAGCUAGUAAUACUUUUUUUUAAAUUGUAAUCCAAAGUGCUUCAUGAGACAGAAGUGUGAAAUCGCUAGCGUUCAUGUCAAAACACGAAAAUGGAAAAUUGAUAAAAGAUGAUCCAAAAAUGAAAAUGUGACAAGAAUGACCAUUUCCUAUUAUCUGUAAUUGUGUUAUUGUUCUCUUGCUCUCAUUGUGUUGGACGGAUGAAUCAAGCCCCGCCCAUCAUCAGGUCACCGGGGAGCUGAUGGAGGUGACAGCUGUGACUCGAGGCUACCAGACGGCUCCGCCCAUUACUGUCAGACAAGCCAGUCAAGCAUUCAUCCAGACAUGACAAGAGAUAGAAUCAAGGCUCUUUGCACCUGAUCUUUCUGCAGCUCCCAGAUGCAGAGCGGCAGCACGGCCACCAGCAGCAAAGCGUACAGAACCAAAACCAGUGGCCGGAUCCACCUCCUCCACUCUGCACAGGAACACGGCAUGACUGCGGCUUCACCCUCAGUGCCACCGCCUACAGGAGCAUCCUGGACCGCUGGAGAAGAGGUCCGUCCUUCCUGCUGCUGUUAGACUGUACAAUCUGCACUUCUCCCAGUAAGUGUAUAUAUAUUUACUUUUGUAUAUUCCACUUCAACAAACUGUGCAAUAGUUUUUGUAUAUUGUGUAUAUAUUGUGAUUUGUCAUGUCUUGGUAUUUAUCCUGCCUUCUAGUUCCACAUUUCUGCCUGACUGUUACGCAAUUUCUAUUACUGCUGCUGCUGACUAAAAAAGGAAAAUCUUCUCCAAUCUCUCUAUUUGUUGAUUAAUUAGAAGUUUUUUAAUUCAUAUUGACUAUUUUCUUUCCCUGAUUUUGAUGCGCUGACAGGUUGUUAUUGUAAUCUGUUGUGUGUUUUGAUGUACAUAAUUUAAAAGCUAAGCUAAUUUAAAAGUUAAAGUAAUCAUCUUAACAUAUUUACAAGGUUUAAGGUGUCACUAUGGUUCAGUUCUUCUCCAAGAUCAGUUGGAUCCACUUCUGGAUCCAGAAUACAGAUAAAAAAAAUAAAAAAAAACUUUAUACGUAAAUGAGUCCAUUUGUAAUUUUUGCUUCUCAUCUCAGAAAGAGCAAAGA